GUUUGACACCCCUGAUCUAUGACAACUGAGUCCUUUGGAGACGCCGACCUCAGAGAGUCUGAAGAACCGGCAGCACAUCCUUCACUGUCAGAGCAGAGCCUCAAGUACUGCUGCAGCUCUGCUCCUUGCACAGUGUCACUGUGGUUUAAUAAAACUAUAUGCACAUAAAGGACAGUU
Notolabrus celidotus (New Zealand spotty) is the source of this 177-nucleotide long non-coding RNA. RefSeq lists it as uncharacterized. The record is from RefSeq and is a predicted model, not a curated record. The transcript has 2 exons. Lineage: Eukaryota; Metazoa; Chordata; Actinopteri; Labriformes; Labridae.